ACACAAGUUCCUAAAAUCUCCUUAACAGUCCCUUGCAGCUCCUUGGCCAUGGACCUGGGCCUCAUAAUCUUCGCAAUCUCGAUGACGUCAUCCAGCGAGAUAUUGCCGGUGUGCUUGAUAUUCUUCGUCUUCUUGCGAUCACGUUCCGGUUCCUUCAAGGCCUUGAUCACCAGCGCCGCCGCCGACGGCACCACCGACACCUUCGCCUGGCGGUUCUGCACCGUGAGCUUCACGGUCACACGCAAGCCCUUCCAGUCCUUGGCGGUCUCUUUGGCGAUGUCUUCUCCGAUUUUCUUGGGGGACAGACCGAGUGGACCGAUCUUCGGAGCGAGAGAACUCGCCGCGCCGACUUCGCCGCCGGUGACGCGGACGUACACGUCGAUGACUUGGGAGGGAUCGAACUUGGGCGGCAUUUUGAAACGCUACUAGGGUUUUCAAGAUGAGGUGAAAUGAGAUUAAGCUGGGAUAGGAAGCUAGGGUUUUAAGGGGAUUAUUUGUUUUAGGCCCUUUAUAUUUGGGCUUUGUUUAUUUCAAUAUGGAUUUCUAUUGCUUUGGGCUGUAGCCUUUCUUUAUUGUUUUACUCAAACCUAAUAGUGAACGUUUGUAAUUGGUCAGUGACUCAAUAUUUUUUGAGCCACUUAUUUUUUCCGUAAACUAAUUGUUAUCAUAAGAUAAGAUAGGGUUAAUUAUCUAGUUGGUCACUGAAAUGGGUUUAAUGUAUCAAGUUGGUCACUAAACUGAAAACGGUAUCAAGAUAGUCACUAAAGUACCAUAAAUAUCAAAUAUCAAACAAGUACCCUGAAAUAUGAGUUCAAGCAGUAAAAAUAUUAUUUAUAAAGUUUUACACAUUAUUUAUAGAUGUUAACACAACCAACUAAAAGAUUAUGAUUUCUAGUAUUUAUGAUAAUAUAUUUAGAUUUUAUCAGAUUUAUUUAUUAUUUAUUAUUUGUUAUAUAGUUAUUUUAUUUGUUUUAAUUAAAAAUAAAUAAUAAAUAAACCUGAUAAAAUCUAAAUAUAUUCUCAUAAAUACUAUAAUCAUAACCUUUUAGUUGGUUUUGGUAGUAUUCAAGAAUAAUGUGUAAAACUCUGUAAAGAAUAUUUUUGCGACCUGAACUCAUAUUUCGAGGUACUUGUUUGAUAUUUAUAACGAUUUUAGUGACCAUCUUGAUACCGUUUUCAGUUCUGUGACCAAUCUGAUAUAUUAAGCCCACUUCAGUGACCAAUUUGAUAAUUAACCCUCACAAGAUAUAAAUAUAACUUAUUCUUUCAAAAAAGUAUAACUUACUUAGUUAGUAAUUUAUGAUAAAUUAUUCACUAUAAAUUAAUAUUUGAACUAUAAAUUUUUCAUCCCAACAUAACACUGAUUGAGUAUAUUUAAUCUCGAUUAAUGAAUAAGUUUUAUAAAUUAAUAAAACUUAGCUCGACGCUAUUAAUUUAUAAAGUUUUAUAAUAUUCAUAAUUAGAGACUUUAUCAUUCCAUUACGAGACAAAUUCAGAAAAUAUUGAAUAUUAUCAUCUUAAUAUGAGGUUAAAUGGUUAUUUAGUGGGCGUUUGGGUAAGGUUAAAAUAAGUGUUUUUUGCUUAAAGUAAAGAAGUGGAGAAGAAGUUAGAAGUAAAUUAAGACUUAUAAAUGGUUAAAGUGUUUGGCAAAUAAGAAGUCCUGAAACAAAAGCUAGCUUUCUAAGCUUUUUAUAAGUACUUCUUGACUUCUUACACAAACGAUACGAAUAAGUGCUUCUAAUUUAUAAUCCAGAAGCCGGACUUUUAAGCACUCUCCAAACACCCCUUUAAUUUCAUUUUUUUAUACGCUCACGGAUUUUAUAGAUAGCCCAAACUCUCCUACAAGAGAAAGAAAGUACAAGAAAAAAGUAGACAGCUCAAUCCCAGAAUACUAACGGGUCGUUUGGUCACGGAUAACUGACAAAAAGAAAGGGAAACAACUCAUUUCAUUCCCUUUGUUGUUGUUUGUUUCAUGAAAUCUGUCAUUCCCUUUCCCUUGUUUUGGUUUUAGGUUUACCCCAAAUCCCUCCUGAUCCAUUCCCCACCCCCCACCAGGUAUUUCUUUUCGCUUUCCUGAUUUUUAUUUUAUUUUCAAUUAUAAUUUAUUUCAAAAAUCAUUAACAUUAAAAAAUAAUAUGUAAAAUAUUUUUGAAGAUCAAAAAUAAAUUUUAAUUUAGUUUUUACAUAUUAAAAAUAAUUUUAGUAUAAUUUAUAAGUCAAGAUAUUUAUAAAAUUAAUGAAAUUUUUAAAUGAUAAAAUAUAUCAAAUUAUAAACGUAAAUAUAUUUUACUCUUUUGAUAUUAUUUAAUAUUUAAAAAUCAAAUAUAAGAAAAAUCAUAUAAUUUUUCAUUCCGUUUCUAGAUCAAAACCAAACAGCUAAUACAAUUCAGCAUCAUUCCUUUCUUUUCUCUUCAUUUCCUUUUCUGAAUUCCAUUCUGUUUCCUUAACUCGAACCAAACGGCCCCUAAGGCUACAGCAGGGACAUAAUCUCUGACACCUCUUAAUCCGGGUCUAAGAUUAGAGAAUCAUUCAUCAUUAACAUAUACUCCCUCCGUCCCUCUGAUAGGUAUACAUAUGGGUUGGGCACGGAGACUAAGAAAAGUGUAUAAAGUAUGUAUAAGAGCAUCUCCAACCAUCUAAAGUCAUUGGCUAAAAAGUGAGUUGGCAUACUUAAAAUAAAAAAAUUUAGCCAACAGCUCCAAAAACUUAACUCCAACCAUACUCAGCUGUUGUCUAUAAAUUUAGCCAACCUCCUAUGGAUGGCUAAAUUUGACUCAGCUGUUGUCUAUAAAUUUAGCCAACCUCCUNNNNNNNNNNNNNNNNNNNNNNNNNNNNNNNNNNNNNNNNNNNNNNNNNNNNNNNNNNNNNNNNNNNNNNNNNNNNNNNNNNNNNNNNNNNNNNNNNNNNNNNNNNNNNNNNNNNNNNNNNNNNNNNNNNNNNNNNNNNNNNNNNNNNNNNNNNNNNNNNNNNNNNNNNNNNNNNNNNNNNNNNNNNNNNNNNNNNNNNNNNNNNNNNNNNNNNNNNNNNNNNNNNNNNNNNNNNNNNNNNNNNNNNNNNNNNNNNNNNNNNNNNNNNNNNNNNNNNNNNNNNNNNNNNNNNNNNNNNNNNNNNNNNNNNNNNNNNNNNNNNNNNNNNNNNNNNNNNNNNNNNNNNNNNNNNNNNNNNNNNNNNNNNNNNNNNNNNNNNNNNNNNNNNNNNNNNNNNNNNNNNNNNNNNNNNNNNNNNNNNNNNNNNNNNNNNNNNNNNNNNNNNNNNNNNNNNNNNNNNNNNNNNNNNNNNNNNNNNNNNNNNNNNNNNNNNNNNNNNNNNNNNNNNNNNNNNNNNNNNNNNNNNNNNNNNNNNNNNNNNNNNNNNNNNNNNNNNNNNNNNNNNNNNNNNNNNNNNNNNNNNNNNNNNNNNNNNNNNNNNNNNNNNNNNNNNNNNNNNNNNNNNNNNNNNNNNNNNNNNNNNNNNNNNNNNNNNNNNNNNNNNNNNNNNNNNNNNNNNNNNNNNNNNNNNNNNNNNNNNNNNNNNNNNNNNNNNNNNNNNNNNNNNNNNNNNNNNNNNNNNNNNNNNNNNNNNNNNNNNNNNNNNNNNNNNNNNNNNNNNNNNNNNNNNNNNNNNNNNNNNNNNNNNNNNNNNNNNNNNNNNNNNNNNNNNNNNNNNNNNNNNNNNNNNNNNNNNNNNNNNNNNNNNNNNNNNNNNNNNNNNNNNNNNNNNNNNNNNNNNNNNNNNNNNNNNNNNNNNNNNNNNNNNNNNNNNNNNNNNNNNNNNNNNNNNNNNNNNNNNNNNNNNNNNNNNNNNNNNNNNNNNNNNNNNNNNNNNNNNAAGAGGGGUGCCAAUGCCAUGUGGCAUGACAUGGACCGGCACUCUUGUUAGCACCCCCAUUGGAAAUGUUAGGGUGCUAUCGGGGUGUCAAGUGAGUUGGCAUGGGUGCCACUUUAAUAUGAGCUGAUCCUAUAUUUAGAAAAAUUGGAUGACAAAAGCAAUACCUAAGUUCAUAAAGGAGGUAAUGACACGGCAUACAAACUCAACAAGUCAUCCUAAUCAAAUAAAAUGCAAGAACACAACAAGAACCGUUGACAUCCUAUAACUCUAUAUCAUGGAAUUACAACUCAGUUACGUAUUGCUAAGCAACUUAUUGCAUUUUCUGUGCUUAAGCCCUUUGACAGAGCAACAAUCUAAUUGAACGCCUCCAAUUCAACAUAAGAUAGCAACACAUUACAGAAAAAGCAUCAGCUCUUAUUAUAAAACAAAGGACGUGAAGCAGUAUCAAGACAGUUUAGAUUUCAGAACACAAGGAACCACAUUUACACAUAUUAUCUGUACUCCCAGGCUUCAUGCUACAUUCUAGAGUGAACUCGGUACUUUUUAUAAUUGUAUAUCAUCAGCCAUUACCCCAAAACAUCUUUAACUGAUACUAGACUACACUCACUUUGAUACCGUUUAUUUAAUUACUUGAUCACAAAACUCUCUUAAACAUCAAACAAAAUGAAAUGCACAUUUACUAGAAAACACACAACGCAAAAGAAAGAUCACUAAUUAAACAACAAUACGGCAAAUCCACAUAGAUUAUCGCAAAAUUAUAAGAAAACAACUAAACGCUGCAAUUAUAGUAAAACACGAAAGUUGAAUAACUAAUAAUUAUAAAAGGAGAACCAAGUAGCAUCACAUUGUCUAGUAAUUGAUUUAAUCCAAAGGAAUCUCGACAUCGCCUCCGUCGAUCUCCUCCUGCAAGUCUUUAGGAUCCUUCCCAUCCACCGUACAUCCAACCGAAACACAAGUUCCUAAAAUCUCCUUAACAGUCCCUUGCAGCUCCUUGGCCAUGGACCUGGGCCUCAUAAUCUUCGCAAUCUCGAUGACGUCAUCCAGCGAGAUAUUGCCGGUGUGCUUGAUAUUCUUCGUCUUCUUGCGAUCACGUUCCGGUUCCUUCAAGGCCUUGAUCACCAGCGCCGCCGCCGACGGCACCACCGACACCUUCGCCUGGCGGUUCUGCACCGUGAGCUUCACGGUCACACGCAAGCCCUUCCAGUCCUUGGCGGUCUCUUUGGCGAUGUCUUCUCCGAUUUUCUUGGGGGACAGACCGAGUGGACCGAUCUUCGGAGCGAGAGAACUCGCCGCGCCGACUUCGCCGCCGGUGACGCGGACGUACACGUCGAUGACUUGGGAGGGAUCGAACUUGGGCGGCAUUUUGAAACGCUACUAGGGUUUUCAAGAUGAGGUGAAAUGAGAUUAAGCUGGGAUAGGAAGCUAGGGUUUUAAGGGGAUUAUUUGUUUUAGGCCCUUUAUAUUUGGGCUUUGUUUAUUUCAAUAUGGAUUUCUAUUGCUUUGGGCUGUAGCCUUUCUUUAUUGUUUUACUCAAACCUAAUAGUGAACGUUUGUAAUUGGUCAGUGACUCAAUAUUUUUUGAGCCACUUAUUUUUUCCGUAAACUAAUUGUUAUCAUAAGAUAAGAUAGGGUUAAUUAUCUAGUUGGUCACUGAAAUGGGUUUAAUGUAUCAAGUUGGUCACUAAACUGAAAACGGUAUCAAGAUAGUCACUAAAGUACCAUAAAUAUCAAAUAUCAAACAAGUACCCUGAAAUAUGAGUUCAAGCAGUAAAAAUAUUAUUUAUAAAGUUUUACACAUUAUUUAUAGAUGUUAACACAACCAACUAAAAGAUUAUGAUUUCUAGUAUUUAUGAUAAUAUAUUUAGAUUUUAUCAGAUUUAUUUAUUAUUUAUUAUUUGUUAUAUAGUUAUUUUAUUUGUUUUAAUUAAAAAUAAAUAAUAAAUAAACCUGAUAAAAUCUAAAUAUAUUCUCAUAAAUACUAUAAUCAUAACCUUUUAGUUGGUUUUGGUAGUAUUCAAGAAUAAUGUGUAAAACUCUGUAAAGAAUAUUUUUGCGACCUGAACUCAUAUUUCGAGGUACUUGUUUGAUAUUUAUAACGAUUUUAGUGACCAUCUUGAUACCGUUUUCAGUUCUGUGACCAAUCUGAUAUAUUAAGCCCACUUCAGUGACCAAUUUGAUAAUUAACCCUCACAAGAUAUAAAUAUAACUUAUUCUUUCAAAAAAGUAUAACUUACUUAGUUAGUAAUUUAUGAUAAAUUAUUCACUAUAAAUUAAUAUUUGAACUAUAAAUUUUUCAUCCCAACAUAACACUGAUUGAGUAUAUUUAAUCUCGAUUAAUGAAUAAGUUUUAUAAAUUAAUAAAACUUAGCUCGACGCUAUUAAUUUAUAAAGUUUUAUAAUAUUCAUAAUUAGAGACUUUAUCAUUCCAUUACGAGACAAAUUCAGAAAAUAUUGAAUAUUAUCAUCUUAAUAUGAGGUUAAAUGGUUAUUUAGUGGGCGUUUGGGUAAGGUUAAAAUAAGUGUUUUUUGCUUAAAGUAAAGAAGUGGAGAAGAAGUUAGAAGUAAAUUAAGACUUAUAAAUGGUUAAAGUGUUUGGCAAAUAAGAAGUCCUGAAACAAAAGCUAGCUUUCUAAGCUUUUUAUAAGUACUUCUUGACUUCUUACACAAACGAUACGAAUAAGUGCUUCUAAUUUAUAAUCCAGAAGCCGGACUUUUAAGCACUCUCCAAACACCCCUUUAAUUUCAUUUUUUUAUACGCUCACGGAUUUUAUAGAUAGCCCAAACUCUCCUACAAGAGAAAGAAAGUACAAGAAAAAAGUAGACAGCUCAAUCCCAGAAUACUAACGGGUCGUUUGGUCACGGAUAACUGACAAAAAGAAAGGGAAACAACUCAUUUCAUUCCCUUUGUUGUUGUUUGUUUCAUGAAAUCUGUCAUUCCCUUUCCCUUGUUUUGGUUUUAGGUUUACCCCAAAUCCCUCCUGAUCCAUUCCCCACCCCCCACCAGGUAUUUCUUUUCGCUUUCCUGAUUCUUAUUUUAUUUUCAAUUAUAAUUUAUUUCAAAAAUCAUUAACAUUAAAAAAUAAUAUGUAAAAUAUUUUUGAAGAUCAAAAAUAAAUUUUAAUUUAGUUUUUACAUAUUAAAAAUAAUUUUAGUAUAAUUUAUAAGUCAAGAUAUUUAUAAAAUUAAUGAAAUUUUUAAAUGAUAAAAUAUAUCAAAUUAUAAACGUAAAUAUAUUUUACUCUUUUGAUAUUAUUUAAUAUUUAAAAAUCAAAUAUAAGAAAAAUCAUAUAAUUUUUCAUUCCGUUUCUAGAUCAAAACCAAACAGCUAAUACAAUUCAGCAUCAUUCCUUUCUUUUCUCUUCAUUUCCUUUUCUGAAUUCCAUUCUGUUUCCUUAACUCGAACCAAACGGCCCCUAAGGCUACAGCAGGGACAUAAUCUCUGACACCUCUUAAUCCGGGUCUAAGAUUAGAGAAUCAUUCAUCAUUAACAUAUACUCCCUCCGUCCCUCUGAUAGGUAUACAUAUGGGUUGGGCACGGAGACUAAGAAAAGUGUAUAAAGUAUGUAUAAGAGCAUCUCCAACCAUCUAAAGUCAUUGGCUAAAAAGUGAGUUGGCAUACUUAAAAUAAAAAAAUUUAGCCAACAGCUCCAAAAACUUAACUCCAACCAUACUCAGCUGUUGUCUAUAAAUUUAGCCAACCUCCUAUGGAUGGCUAAAUUUGUCGAAUCUCUACAGGUCUGUAAGAAAAUCUGUAGAAAGAUUGUACAUCAUUUAUGACCAUAUUGAACUGAUAUAUUCUAUUUUAACAAUUUAAAAUAUUAAUAACAUACUAUUUUUAAAUUAUAACCAACCAAUAUAGCUAAUACCAUUGAAGCAAAAUGUCUUACAGGUUCAGCAAAUUUUACAUAAUGUCUUACAGGUCCAAUUUAGCCAGCGAUUAUAGCCAACGCCAUUGGAGAUGCUCUAAAGUAGUGAGAGGAGGGAAAAAAAAAUGGGUAAAUUAGUGGGUCUCAUCAAUAUAUAAUUGAUAGAUUUGAAAAAGUAGUUGAAAGUAGUGGGUGGGUGGGUUUUUUAUAUUAUAAAAGUUUGCUAUUUUGGGAAAGUUUUGAAAUGUAUGUAAUUACGUGGGACAUCAAAAAAGGAAAGUGUAUAGAAUUAAAUGGGGCGGAGGGAGUAUGUAUCCUGGAUUUAAUAAUAUAAAUAUCUCUUUACACCAUUAGGAUCGGUAACAUGUGAUGAUAUGAAACAAGUUACAACUAUUAACCAAAAUAUAAAGAGGUAAUUGCAUAUCGCACCCCCUAAGUAUCGUUCAAAAACAAUAAAGUACCUAUAUUUUGAGAAACUCAACUCGCAUCCCUAAUAUUUAGUGUUCAAGCCCGAGAUGCACCCCUGCCGUUAACUUCCGUUAACUCACUGCACUCCGUUAAGUCAUUAUACAUAUAAUUGUAAUUCAGACCCCUUAAGUUACGUUAAAAAACGAUGUUGUAUCCAUACUUUUGGAAACCCAAAUCGCACCACCUAUCUUUACAUUUCAAGAACGAUACACACCUCCUCCGUUGAAUUCCGUUAACUUCCGUUAAAAUACUCCUCCGUCUCAAUUUACAUGCCCCUUUUGCUUUUUGAGAAGUCAAAUUGACUAAUUUUUGACCAACUAUUAAAAAAAUAUUUAUCUAUUAUUUUAGAAAAUAGAAAGUUACAUAUUAAAAUAUGCUAGAUUUUGUUUAAAAAAUAUAUCAUCAAAAAGUAAAUCUAGUCUAUUUUAAUAGAGAUAAAUAAUAGGGGGUCCGAAUUGCAAUUACCUCUAUUAUUUGCGAAAUUCGGACCCUCUAUUAUUUGCGAAAACAAAUAGACUAGAUUUACUUUUUGAUGAUAUUUUUUUUAAAAUUUUUGCUUUAAUUAACUUAUCCCCAAGUCAAAAUGAUUUUACAUAUUGAAUGAUUUUAAAUUUUUAGUGACAUAUGUAUUAAGUACUUAAAAUAUACACUAUUUUAAAUAUAAAAAUAAAUAUUAUGUGAUAUUUAUCAUAAAUAAUACAUAAAAUUAUAUAUUGAUUAAAAUAUAUAAAUUUUAAUUAUUUUGUUUGGAAAAAUGAUCAAAAAUUUUUUUAAAAAAUAUCAAUAAAAAUUGAAUCUAGUCUAUUUUAAUAUAUAACUUUCUAUUUUCUAAAAUAAUAAAUACAUAUUUUCAAAUAGUUGGUCAAAAAUUAGUCAAUUUGAUUUCUUAAAAAGCAAAAUGGACAUAUAAAUUGAGACGGAUGUGUAUUUUAACGGAAGUUAACGAAAUUCAACGGAGAGUGUUAUCGUUUUCGAGAUGUAAAGAUAGGUGGUGCAAUACGAGUUUCCAAAAAUAUGGGUACAAUAUCGUUUUUGAACGUAAGUUAAGGGGUCCAAAUUGCAAUUACCUGUACAGUGACUUAACGGAGUGCAAAAAGUUAACGGAAGUUAACGACAGGGGUGCAUCUCAGGUUUGAACACUAAAGAUAAGGGGUGCGAGUUGAAUUUCUCAAAGUAUAAGUACUCUAUCAUUUGUGAACGAUACUUAGGAGGUGCGAUAUGCAAUUACCUCAAAUAUAAAAUAUAAACUUAUUACAAACCCCAAAUAAAUAACCUUAACCAUAAUCCGACUUGAAAUUAUACAAAACAUCUCAAAUGUACUAAUCACAACAGUCCAUACCAGCACACUUUCUCCCCACGGACUAUCCAAAGUAUUUUUUACCUGAGCUAGUAUCGCAAUCUAGCGAAAUAGAAAAGGUGACAUAGGCGGUCUAUCGAGCAGUGCAAAUGAGUGACUAUCUUUCUCUUACUUAGUUGUCAGGAUUAGAUAAAUGACACAAUUUGCUAUGAAAACACCGCAAGUAACUAUAGUAGACAGAAAAAUUAACUGUUCAACAGAAUAAAUAAAAAGUUUAUGAUAAUAGUCCUAAAGAUCCGAAAACAUAACGGAAUAAAAGAGAAAGUUUAUGAUUAUAGGCCCAAAGAUCAGAAAACAUAAACACAGGUUCCAAAUUAAAAAUAAUUCUAAAGAAAACUAAUUUUAUGAAUCAUCAAUAUACUUAUAUAAAGGAGAACCGAGGGGCGUGUAGGUGGCGCCUCUCACAUCGCUCCGUUCUAUUUUUUUAAUUUUCUGGAAUUUUUGGAUGAAAAAUAUCAUAAAUUAGAACUACCUUUUUUAGUUUCGGAUAUAUUAGAAGCAAAUUUCAGAAUCUGAUUAUGUUUGAGAUUAUUUAAAAAAUACAGUAGUUUGAAAGUUUUAAUCAGAUUUUGUUUCUAUAUAAAGGAGAAGCGAUAGAACUACCUUUUUUAGUUUCGGAUAUAUUAGAAGCAAGUUUCAUAAUCUGAUUUUGUUUCUAUAUAAAGGAGAAUCGAUAGAACUACCUUUUUUAGUUUCGGAUAUAUUAGAAGCAAGUUUCAGAAUCUGAUUUUGUUUCGGAUUAUUUUUGGAAUAUAGUAGUUUGAAAAUUUUAAUCUGAUUUCGUUUCUAUAUAAAAGAGAAGCGAGGGGCGUGUAGAUGGCGCCUCUCACAUCGCUCCGUUCUAUUUUUCUAAUUUUCUGAAAUUUUCGGAUGAAAAAUAUCAAAAAUUAGAACUACCUUUUUUAGUUUCAGAUAUAUUAGAAGCAAGUUUCAAAAUCUGAUUUUGUUUCAGAUUAUUUAUGGAAUAUAGCAGUUUAAAAGUUUUAAUCUGAUUUUGUUUCAGAUUAUUUAUUUAUGAUAAAGAGUAGCACACAAGUCUCUCCACACCUAUAAAUACCCCUUGUAGGUUGUAGGGUUUUGGAUCAUCUAAACACAACCUACUCUCCCUCAAUACCACAACCCUACCUCUAUCUGGUGAUAGUUCUCAAAUCCAAACACGGGAGAAAAAUAUAGUCUUGACAUGAUAUUGAUGGAUGAUAUCAAUAAAUUAACUAUUAGUGAUUUAUGUUUGUUGGUUAUUCUUUUAUAAUAUUUGUUUUGUUAAUCAGACAUGUUUUUUGUUGUUAAUUUUUAUAUGAUUUACUUUGUAUACAGGAAAAUAUUAUUCAUGCAUUAUCUGUUUGCUCCAUUCAAGCAAACAGAUAAUAUUAAAUCAUUAAUAUACUUUUUAUAUACAGCCACAAAAUUAUUGUACUCUACAAAUAUUAAUAUUGAAUCAUUAAUAUAAUUUUUAUAGGCCGCUGCAACGCGCGGCUUCUGAACUAGUUAUUGUAUAAAGACCCUUCUUUAAUCGGAACUUUCAUAAAAACUUUUUUUUCAAUAGCAUUUUCUUUCAAAACAGUUAUUUCAUCAAAACUUUCCUUUCAAGCACGAAAAUCACCUUGUUUUCACAUAGUUCAAUCAUCUGCACAUUUCUUUUCAUAAAAUAUUUUACUCGAUUGGAUUGUAUAACCAACAAUUGCACGGGUAAUCAGCUAUGUACAAUUCCCAUAGGAUAUCCUAAAGACAACGUAUCAAAUAAAUCUUUAUUUUGCAAAUAUUUCCCCGACGCAAACGAGAAAGAUAACUAGAAAUCUCCGAUUGUCUUUAGUCACUCCUUAUGAUUAUAAAAGAAAUAACUAGAACCAAGUUUUAUAGAUAAUUCAACAACAAAUUGCUGUAUAUCGUCUAAAUUCACUGUCAACCAGUAUUGUGCAAAACAAUCUAAACUGCUACCACAAGUUCAUAAUGUACAAAACCUAGCUCUAACAUUGACUGCGCAAAGUCCAACAAAAAUUCUUGUUAUCUUUCACUCCAUUUUCUCUGUUGAAGAUAAAUGGCUUUUUAACUGAGCUGCUCCAACAUAGCACCUUUUUACACAGCUUCAAGAGUUUCAAGUCAUUACUUUAUGUGUCCUGAGGAACCACGUUAGAUGGCGUUACAGUUUGAGUACGUUGAUCAGCGGUCUGCAAAUUGUUAUAAAGAUCAGCUGCCGCUUCUCGUCGUCUCUUCCAUCUUAAAAACUCAACAAUAAUAGAACUUCCACUCAUUGCAACCCCGAGUCCCGCAAAUGUUGCUAGAAGAAUUGAUAAAACUGGUUGUACAUGAACCUAUACGAAACAGAAGGGGAAAGUUGAAUGAAACAUGAAUUUGGAACGAGUAUAGUGUAGUGUGGUCCGUUCAAAUAUAGAAACAAAACAAAACUACUCUUUUCAGUUCCAAGAUUUACAGUGCUUCUUAAAGGGUAAGGCUUAUAGAAUGUCAUUCUUUGAGUUUCAAUGAAUCAAAUUGAAGUCACUCUGUCCUUGCAUUAAUAAAUUGACGGUGUAUUACUUGUGAGCAGAGAAAAUCUUACCACACUGAAGAAAAAAUGUGCAAAUAUAACCACAAAUGCGAAUUGAAUGGAUGCAUAUAGCCAGACGAAUCUUCUUUUUACUACACACGGAAUAAGAUUUCUCAAGUUAACACAGGGGCACAAUUUACACUUUAUGUAAUCCUAACUAAGCCCUUAGCAGUAUACUUUAACAAGACUUGUAAGAGCAUAAGUAUCCUACCUUCCAGUUGUUGUAUGUACAUAUAGAAACCAACUUCUAUAUUCAGAGUCAAAAUGGCUUACCCAUGGUUGAAGAGGUCAUAGAUGAAAGGAAACCUAGCACACAAGAAAAUGGAAGUGAGAGUGCUAUUGCACCCGUACCCAUAUUUGCAACCUGCAUGUGUGCAAAAUAAUUAGCACCAGAAAAAAUAUUCGCACAACAGACUGAGUGAGCACAAAUCCUACCAGAAGUUGCUCAAGAAAACAAAAGUAGGCAAGCAUGCUGACAAUAACAAGAAUUGGUAGCUCCUGCCAAACCCUGUAGACAUCACUGCAAAUAAAUAGAUAUAGAUAUGAAAUAUAAGUUGCCAAAUAGCUAAUGAUGUUAUUGUAAAAGCAUCAUGAUUCAGAAGCGUAUUUCUAUUAACUGAUUGACUUUCAUGAGUUUUGCCAGAAUUCUUUUUAUUUUCACGAAAACAUGUAUGCAUGGUAAAUAAUCAGCAAGAAGAAUAAGAUUUCAUAUUACUGGAGUAAACAGAACACAUGUAAUCAUGUACACAAAAUCAACUAGCAAGAUAGAUUGGUCAAAUGUGGACGGCAAAUCAAUGUGCACUUGCCUGAAUCCAUUAACUUCCAUGGCUGGAGCUCUAUUUGCGGAAAUAAGUCGAUUUUGUACGCUUUGAAUCCUUAGAAGGGUAACAGGUAGAUUCUGAACCUCAUGCUUACACACUUCACAAGUUUUGUUUCCUUUGAUGCUAAACCAUUUCACAGCACAUUCUUGAUGAGCUAAUGCAAGUUCACCUUUACAUUUGCAUUCCAUCUUGAGGGUUUCACCACCUUCACAUAAUUCAACCAUACAGAUUCUGCAAACAGCCUCUUCUUCUGGUAUAUCUUCAGCAUCAACUUCAUUAUUUUCUGACAAUAUAACUUAUUGAAGUGAGAUUAUUAAAUUUAAUAUAUACUAGUUUACUAAAGUAACAUUUAAAUAACAUUAACAGAAUAUAGUAGCUACGUAUACUCAUUAACUGUCAUUAUACAGAAAUAUGUAUAAUUUUAGCAUUUGUAUGAGUAGAUAGAAUUUCAUCAUACAUGAUAUAGUAAAGGUUGCACCUUGGAUGCAAGAGAGAGUUUAAAAAAACCAAGGUUUUUAACACCUGAGAAUUAAGUAAGCAUGAGAUAGGACAACAAAGAUAACAGAUAUACCAUCAUCUCCAUUUGCAUCUGUAUUGAUUAUCUUGUCAUUUCCAUCUCUCGUUUGAGGAGUUGAGGGUAUCACACGUAUAAAAGAAUCCAUUCGCCUAAUGGUAGGCCCUUUGUUUAGAUCAGGAACUGAUAGUGACCGAGAUAUGUGCUUCUGUGAUCCUUUAAACUACAGAAAACAUUUGCACAGAGGUUAUGUGUUUGCAUAUGAAUGUCACAUUGAUGAUUUGUUUACAAGCUGAAAAAUAUUUGCAAUUCAGUCAAAAAGUGUGAGUGACUUAAUCCAAUUUAUAACAAAAUUCCCAUAAUCCAUAUAAAUUAUUUUUAUAACAUUGUAAAUCUCAAGUCUGCUAAUUCCUACUAUGUAAUGAUGCACACUUGAUGUGGCUGAAAGACGAAAUUACUCAAAUACUUUCAUGAAUAUUUAUUCAAGCUUGUCGGGUUGCAACAACCAGAAAUAAAGGUAAGAUUUUAUGCCACUUCAUGUAACAGAAAUUGGCCAUCUGAUGCGAGUCACACAGAACAGGUGAAUUACCAGUUUAACUUGAGGACAUUGCCUGGUGAUGAUUUUAACGAUAAAUUAACACAUAAUAUGCAUGAACAACUAAACGUAGUAUUUUGUUACCGAAAAACAGCAGUAAACCAUUGCAACUUCGGUAUUUUAAGCCACCAUAUGAGCUUACUAAGAAUUUAAGAGUCCAUAUAUUUCUUUGCAAGUGCAAAUAAACAAGUCAAGCCCAAUAGGUAAAGAGUCGAACUAAUUUACUCUGUUCAACUUACUGUUAUAUAAUAAUAUCUGAGUUAUAUCACCCAGUAUACCAUGCCGAGAACUUACCUCCAAAUUAAGUGAGCUGCCCAAGUUUCCACCACGUAUGAUUUCUGAGUUUGAGCGUGAUAUUUGAGUAACAGGCAGGGAUGACGUCCUCUUCAUCCGAGGUGUAAAUAUCCUUGUAAGUGACCAUGAUCUUGACAUAGAAGACUUCUCCUGUGGCCCUCCUGAUAAAAUGUUGUUUGGUCUCUCGGCAUCUGAACUUGAAUUCUUAUACUUGAAGCUCAUCUUUGGAAGGAGUUGCUUCAUAGAAGAUUUAGCUUUAAAAGAUGAAGGACCAGGAGAUGCAUUUGCUCUUGCAUCAGUGGGGCUAGGCGUCAAGAUGAAAUUCACUUUCUUGGGAGUGGGAGUAGGAGUGGGCGGCAUUUUCAUUUCAACAAAUUCUUGAGGGGAGAUCUCCAUGUUUCUUGAUGGGAUCUCUAAAGAAAGAUUUGGCUUUCUCGGGUGCUUAUUAUGUGGUGUUUCUUGACUGAAUUCGGACGACUCAUCAAUCUGAAGAACAUGAACAAGAGACACAACACUGGUGAGAUGGAAACAUAUCAAGUGAGCAUUACAAUCUGCAUAUACCUACAAUUAAUCACAAUAUUAGUUCCUACUCUAAAUCUACUACAGCCAUUUGGAGCUGCAUUAAGUCAACUUAAUUAUGGAAAUAAGUAGUACCGAUUUCAGUCAACACCUAUCAUAUUAAAGGGUUAGCAGAAGAUCGUACAUAUAAGAAAAGAAUGGGUACUUUGGUUGCAUCUCAUAACUUCUGCACCUGAAGCUGAUAAGCAACUUCAUAUACCUAUCCUGCCAGUUGUUAAUUCUGAGAUUCUGACAACCGCAUCUAUAUUUAAUAUCUUUUGAUCAUUGCAUAUUACUUGAGUGCUCAAAUUUUCCAUGUAUAUAUCCUACCACAUAAAGAAAAAGUGAAGGUAUAUGUAAUAUGCUACAUUUUUUUAGGAACGUAUCAAUGCAACUUUAUCAAAAAAACAAGAUACAACUGUGUAAAUAAGGUAGUUUGGGCGUAUCUCCAUUAAAAAUUCCGCCCACUUUCUGUUAGGGGUGAGCGUGGUUCGGUUCGGGGCGGUUUUAAGGUAAAACCGGAACCGGAACCGCGAAUCUUCGGUUUUUAAAAUUAAAAACCGAAACCGCAACCGAACCGUCGGAUCGGUUUCGGUUUCAAAAACCUCGGUUCGGUUUUAGUCGGUUCGGUUUCGGUUAUAAAACCGCAAGAAAUGAGAAAAUGAAAAAAAAAUUACGUAUUGAAUCUUUAAAAAUUAUUUACAACAUUAAAAGUUAUCUCUUUGUAUCUUUACGGUAUUAGAUCAAUGAAAGAGUCCAAGGCUGCGAGUCUAUGAUUUUGAUAGUAUGUUUCGUACUACUCUUUUGGAUAAAAUCUAAGGUAUGUAAAAAAAAUCGAACCUAAUUCAAGUAUUCUCCAACCUAUACCAAACUAUAAUCUAAAUUCUAUAUAUUACUUAGUUACGGUUCAUGAUAUAUUAAUAUAAAUAUAUGUAUAUAUUAUCUUAAUGCACACGUGUAUAUAUGUACAUAUAUAAAUAUAUAAAUAUAUUUAUAAUUAUAUAUGUAUUAUAAUUUAUAAAUAAUAUUUAUUUAUUUAUUUUAAAUAAUCGGUUCGGUUCGGUUUAUUUCGGUUCGGUUUUAAUCUAAAACCGGAACCGCAACCAUUAGAAUCGGUUCGGUUUUUUAAUUUGCGGUUUCAGUUCGGUGCGGUUUUAUACGGUUCGGUUUUUAACGGUUUUGGUUCGGUUUCGGUUUCGGUUUCAAUUCGGUUUUUUGCUCACCCCUACUUUCUGUAUCAAGGAAAGAUGAUCUACGUAAAGAAACUAUUCCACACAUCGAAAAAAGACAUUAGUACAUCACACAUGUUUUUUUUUAGCUUUUACCAGUUGUAUCAUCUCUCAAACAAGAAUGAAAUACUAUUAGGCAAAAGAAUCCAAUCCCAUAGGAGUUUUGGUUUUGAUUCUCACAGGGCAAGUUCUCAAUUGGCACGAAAGCUAAGAAUCAAGUCCACAAUGUCAAGACAAGAAAUAGAGCACUUUUGCUUUCUAAUAAAGGCUUCACAGUUCAAUGUAAAGAAAUAAAUUUGCAACCCCUUUGUUUUUUCUUUUUUUUGUUAAACCGGUGUCCGGGCCCGUUUUCGCGCACCCCGACUAAUUUGCGACUUAUUCACACAUGAGAUUGGAACCUACUCACUGUUACCAACGCAAUCUGAACUCUGAAAAAUUCUACACGAGAAAGACCUCAUAUAAAUGUAAUAUUUUAACCAAAAGUUAUACAGUGACAACUAUUUAUUGAAGAACUCUAUAUCUAUCUAUCUAUAUAUAUAUAUGUGUGUGUGUGUUUUCGAGGUCUCCAAUAAAAAGGUGGUCGGGGUAGAACUCAACUACAAAAAUCUUUCACUAAUAAACAAGAAGAACCUAAAUAUAGUAAUUACAAAUAAAGAAACAGAUGAAGCAAUCAACAUACCUCAUCAACCGGAAUGACUACUUGAAACAAACACUUGUGAUCCUCCAUACUUGAAGUUUGUAUCUUUAUAUUCUCAUGCAAAUCUCCAGUGUUGAGAUUUAGUGUGUGAAUGAUACAGAAAGGGAGGGUUGAAAAGAUUGGGUUUUGGUGAAGUUGAGAUGGGAAAUUGGUGAAUAUGGAAGAGAGUGAGUAAUGAAAGUUUGCAUUAAUAGCCAGCCAGCAAGAAGAAAAGAAAGAAAAGAGACUGGUGUGUGUGUGUGUGAAGUGGGGAAGAGCUCCUCUGCCACUCCAGUCUUUUAUGGACAAGUAGUUGUAAAUAAAAUAAUACUACUCCCACAAAAUCAUAACUCUUUCCACUCCACUCCAAAUGGUGGGUCAUGAGGCAUCAGCCCCUAUUUGUGGUAUGAUAUUUUGGUUAUUUUUUUCUCAUAUUUUUGUUAUCCUUUCUGAGAAAAUUUCCCAUCAAAAAUUUUUCCUCUUAAGUACUAAAGUUUCUCUUACAUUAUUAAAUGAUUUUUAAGAACACUCUCUUUUUUUUUCUGAAAUUAUUUAAAAACACUCUUGUUGUUAUUUUUAUAUAUUAUUAUUGUAUAAUAAACAAAUAUAGAGAUAAUUUGUAUUAUAAUAUUUUGAUUAUAUCUUUUUAUCAUACUUAAAUUUUCCUUACGAUUAGUAAACAAAAUUGCUAAUUGUUUUUAGUUUGUUAUUUGUUUCUCAACGUGGUUGUAUUUGCAGUGGAAAGUUCGUUCCGGUAUUUUAUUCUGAUUAAUUAAGGUGUUUUUCUUUUUGGCAAAAAAAUAAAUAAAUUAUCCUUACAUAAGAAAGAAGGAAAAAAAAAUCCAAUUUUAAAAUUCUUGGUAUUGGCCUCAAUUACUACAAUAUCGACUAGGGUAAUAAUCAAAUGAGUAACCGAAAUGAACUUAAUACAUCAAGUUGGUCAAGAAAUUCAAAACGGUCUUAAAUCGGUCACUUAAAUCAGUUACAAGUAUUUCUAAAUAUGAGUUUAAAUAUUACUACAGCAAGGUUAUGAUUUCUGCCUUUCUAGUAUUCUAGUAUGUAUGAUAGUAUAUUUAGAUUUUAUUAAGUAUGUUUACUAUUUAUUUUUUAUUAUAUAGUUAUUUUUUUAAUUUUAAUUAAAGUAUGCAUUCAUAAUUAUAUCUGGAAAAAUUGUAAAAUUAUGUAUUUGUUAAAAGAGUAAGCCCAUAAUUUUUUUUUAAAAAUAAUUUAUAUAAACAAGCCCAUUAUUAAAAUAAUAUAUGAAAAUAUUAAAACAAAACUCAUACCCGUCUGACUUGCAACCGCAGACUCGUUCAUGCUUGUUCUAUAAUUACAUGUUACUCCUUCCGUCUCCAAAUAAUUUUCAUGUUUGUUUUUAUCACGUUCGCCAACACAUAUUUUUGAUGACAAAAUCUUUAAUUUCAUAUUAAUAUUAAAUAUAAAAUUUCACCGUAUUAAAGUAAUCAUAAAUACGAAACUCUCUCCGUCUCUGAAUACUUUUCCUGUUUGUCUUUAUCACGUUCCCCAACACAUAUUUUUGAUCAUUAAUAUCUUCUUUUUUGAUGAAAUCUUUAAUUUCAUAUUAAUAUCAAAUAUAAAAACUUCACCGUAUUAAAGUACUCAUAAAUACGCCAACAAAAUCACUCAAGAUUAUAUUUAAUCUUAUAGAUUAAAAAUAAAUUAAUAAUUUAUCUCAUAUUAUAAACAAUCACAAAUAUGACCGCAAUUUGAAAAGUUUUUAGAUCGGUGGGAAUACCAUUUUUUGACACGAGGCUUGUAUGAUAUGACUCGCGUACUUAAACUGCCGAUUCCGUGUCCGGACGAAGGUCCACUAUUGAACCGGCACGGAUGACGGAUCCAACCUCCGGUUCGGCGGCACUAGUCGUCACUCAUCACUUCAUUUCUCCACAUUUCAUACACUCGUUUUUUUCUAUCUUUCCGCUAAAAAACGACAAAGAUUUACUAUUAUUAAGUAUGGAUAGUUAUUGACAUAUCACAUAUGUGAUAGUCAAAUAUUUAAAUAUUUGAUAUGAAAGUGUGCUAGUUAUGAAAAUAUAUAUCGGAUUACUCAAGUAAAUACAAGAAAUGACCCGAAUAUUCCCCUAUAUGUUAAGUGUUGUUGAGAGUUGAGUCCAGUAUUCUAAAAAUCCCCGAUUUAAUCGAUAAAUCCCCGAUUAAUCUCUUGCCAGGUCGGCCACCGAUCCGAUUAAUCCUCAUAUAUAUUCCAUAAUCGAAGUAUAUGUGAUAAAUUAUUAAAAUUAAAAUAUUAUAUUAUUUUAAAUAUGAACAAUUAUAGAGUUUAUAAAUAUAGUAAAUAUAUUAGUUACUAAAUAACUAAUAUAAUAAUAACUAAAUAUUAAAUAAUAUUUUAAAAUGUGAUAAAUUAUUAAAAUUAAAAUAUUAUAUUAUUUUAAAUAUGAACAAUUAUAGAGUUUAUAAAUAUAGUAAAUAUAUUAGUUACUAAAUAACUAAUAUAAUAAUAACUAAAUAUUAAAUAAUAUUUUAAAAUUAAAAUAAACCCGAUUUUAACUCCGAUUAAUCCUUCCGAUUAAUUUCCGAUUUUCGAUUAAAUUUUGAAUCGAUAGCUCAACCGAUUAGAUCCGAUUCCCGAUUUCUGUAGCACAGUCAUGUAAUUUGUUUACCGGUUGGAUAACGAAAGAACUCAAUGCUUUUGGGAGUUGAGUUGGGUGGAUUAAUAUUAAUACUAGUAACAAAUAAACUACUCCUAUAUGGGAGGGAAAAGCAAGUCAAGCCACUAAUGAGUUAAGUUGGCGUGUAACCCAUUAUACAGAGGAAACAGAAAAACGCAUUAAAAGGGGGGCAAGGUUUAUCCUCCCGUAUCUCCGACUGUACAAAAUGUCAUUCAUGGUGCAUGUUUUUCAGUCAACCAUAAAUAUAUAUGGUGCCACUAGAGCCGGCCAAACGGGCGGGCCGUGCCGGUUCGGGCCGGUUCAGACGGGUUCCGAACCGUCAGCUGUGGAACCGUAACCGGCCCGUCAACACUGACGGUUCGUGCCGUGCCGUGCCGUGCUGAAGAAAGUGGAAGUCAUAACCGUGUUAUACGGUUUACACGGGUUCUGCGGUUCGGGCCGAACAAUCCGGGCUGGCGGUUCGCGGUUCUUGACCGCGGUUCAACAGAGUGUGUAAAUUGUAUGUGUUUGCUUGUCUAGUUGUCUGUCUUGUCUAGUUUAUUUAGUGUUGUUUUGUUUAUUUGUUUUUAGUUUAUUUAGUUUAGUUUAGUUUUUUAUUUUUAGUUUUAUAGUAACAAGUUUAAUUUCAUUAAUUCUUAAAUUUAAAAAAUUCGAUAAUAAAAUUGUUUUAUAUGAUAUUAGUUUUGGAAAUUAGUUUUGUCAAGUAUUAAUAUGAAAUUAAUUAUCAAAUUGUAAACUAAUAAAUAAUUACCUAAAUUUAAAAACUUAGCCGAAAUAAAAUCAACUAAAUUAUUUUUUUAAAAGAAAAUUACUUAAGUUUAAAAACUUAACCCAAAGAAAAUUGACUAAAUUAUUUUUUUUAAAGAAAAUUACCUAAAUUCAAAAACUAAAAUGAAAUGAAAUUAAGUAAAUUACUUUUGUAGUUAACGAAAUAAACUGAACAAACUAAACAAAAACUAAAAGAAAUAAAAGAAAAACUAACGUAUUAAAACCCAUGUGCAAAAAACAGAAAGCAAAGAAGUGUAAUUAUAUGGACAUUCAGCGGUUCCACGGUUUGAAACCGCGGUUCCAACCGGGCCGGUUCCGCGGGUUCCCGCGGUUUCGGGCCGGUUACGGUCCGGUUCCCCAUUUCUCAACCCGGAUUCGGCACGUGUUCAGUAUCGGUUCGUGCCGGUUUCGAACCGGCCCGUGUUUAGACGGUUCCGGGCGGUUGAAAAUACGGUUCGGGGCGUGCCGGUUCAAUCGGUUCGGCCCGUUUGGCCACCUCUAGGUGCCACUCUUGCCUUGAUAUUUUCAUCAUCUUACCUUAGGAUACCCCCUAACCUUUUCAUACCGAUUAAACUGAUCCGACAUGUUUAGGGGCUGUUUGGUUAAGAGUAAUUGACAAAGGUAAAGAGAAACUAUCCGUUUCAUUCUUUUUGUUGUUGUUUGUUUUAUGAAAUCUCUCAUUCCCUUUCCCUUAUUUUGGUUUUAGAUUUACCCCAAAUCUCUCAUGAUCCAUUCCCCACCCCCACCAGAUAUUUCUUUUCCCUUUCCUGAUUCUAUUUUAUUUUCAAUUAUAAUUUAUUUCAAAAAUCAUUAACAUUAAAAAAUAAUAUGUAAAAUAUUUUUGAAGAUCAAAAAUAAAUUUUAAUUUAGUUUUUACAGAUUAAAAAUUAUUUUAAUAUAAUUUAUAAGUCAAGAUAUUUUUAAAAUUAAUGAAAUUUUUAAAUAAUAAAAUAUAUCAAAUUAUAAACGUGAAUAUAUUUGACUCUUUUGAUAUUAUUUAAUAUUUAAAAAUCAAAUAUAGGAAUAAUCAUAUAAAUUUUCAUUCCGUUUCCGGAUCAAAACCAAACAGGUAAUACAAUUCAGCAUCAUUCCUUUCUUUUCUCUUCGUUUCCCUUUCUUAAUUUCAUUCCGUUUUCUUAACUCGAACCAAACGGCUCUUAGUGUUUUUAGCUGACCUAACCAAAUACCUAAAUCAAAUUUGAAUGGUUUAAAUAUUGAAGAAAUUGAAUUAAAUAGAUUGAGUUAGGAUUUUGUCAAUUUUAACCAAAUCUAGCCCGACAUAUAUUAUAGAAUUUUUGCCACAAAACCCAAAUCUAAAAGAAGUUUUGCAAAAAUACCACCACUUUUUAAAACGAAUUGCAAAAAUAUUAUGUUUCAAAUUGCAAAAAUAUGGUUGCAUUUAUAACCAUAUUUGCAACUGCUAACAAUCAUAUAUUCAACCACAAAUGUAAUUUUGAUUUUUUUUUUGAAAAAUUACGUUUAUUUGCAAAAUAAGUUGUAGCUGGUUGCAAAGACAAAAAAUGAAUACCCUGCAGAGCCAAUACUAAUAACCAUAAAAAUAACUGCAAUAAUCAAAUUCAACAAUCACGACAACUAACAAUUAAUAAUCCUAAUCAAUCAACGCAAUCACACAUACAAUCAUAUACAUGCAAUUAUAUACAUACACAUAUAUGAUAUCUUUAAUCGAGUCUAAUUCAGUUUUUUAGCCUUCCAAAUUUUUGAACCCUAAUCAAUAAUUCAUUUCUCCGACUGAAAUUUUGAUGAGAGAGAGGGGGAGAAUGAAGAGAGAGACAACAACUAGAGACAACGAGGGAACAGAGCUAGGGGAAAGAAAUAAUGAAAAGGGGGAAGGGAGGAGAGAGGGAGAUUAAUCAGCGCCGGAAGGACACGCAGAGGGAGAGGGCGAGAUUUCCUCAUUGAGGGAGAGAAUGAGAUGUUGCGCUUGUCAACGUAUAUCUGCAAAUUUUUUAAUCUUUUUUAUUAAAAGAACGUAAACUUGCAACAAAAACAAGAAAGAUAGUAAUUUUGCAAUUAAAAUGUUAAAAAAGUAUUUUAUUUUUUUGAUAACUUCCCUAUAUUAUACACUAAUAAGAUAUUACUAAUUCACUAAUUGACUUCAAAUUAAGAAUUUUUUGAUAUACUAUUAUAUAUCACGUGUCGAUAGUUUUGACUUGAUCCAAAGUGACUUAUACUAUGCAUUAAUGAGUUGUAUUAGUUUACAAUUUGACUUAAAUUUAAGAUCUUACACACUGAACUUAUGAUAUAUAUUUAAUGUAAUAAUAUAUUAUUUAUAUUUAGGGUAAUUUAGUUUUGUAGAUUGUAAUGUAAUAUAAUUUGCAUUUGUGGUGUGAUCAAUUAUAUAAUUGCAUACUAGAUUAGAUUAAGUUGUACAUGAGUUUGAUUCUCGGACACUUGAGUUAUUCUAUUACUGAUUAACAAAUACAAAUAUGUUUUGCACAAAAUUCUAUUUUAUAUUUAACUUGAUCAACACAAUAAAGUUGAAACAAUCCAACCCGAUUUUAAUAAGAUUUAUGAUGAGUUUAAAAUUUAUAAAACUGAUCUAAUUGAGUUGGGUUACUACAUUGCUUGUAACCCGUCCAACCCGAUGUGCGGGCACCCCUAAUCUCACCGUGCUCCUCUUUUAUGCGGGGUUUCUUUGCGAGACUAGUAGAAAAAUAUAAACAUAUAAUUGAUACUCGUUCCGUCUCAUUCAAUUGUAUACGCUACUUUUUGGCACGCCUUUUAAGACUCUUUUAAAGCAUAAUUUCAUCAUAUUUUUUUAAAUUAUUUUUUUUUCUAAAUAAAAGAUUGAUGUUUAAAUUUUUAUUCAAAUUUUUUUUUUAAAUUGUGGAACUUUAUUUUAUAGGAGUAUCGGAAUGCGUGUAAAUAGUGAACGUAUAUAAUUCACCGGGACAGAGGGAGUAUCUUUUUUGUCUCAUUUUUAUCAUUCUCUUUAUUUCACAUAUAUUUUAAAAUUUAUAUAAAAUUCAAUUUCAUAUUUUUUUCAAUUUUUUCUCCGAAUAAAGUUAAUUUUUUAUAUUCUAUUAUGAAAGNNNNNNNNNNNNAAGAGAACAUUGC
RNAcentral lists this long non-coding RNA (23224 nucleotides) under Daucus carota (carrot). Its description in RNAcentral is "long non-coding RNA (DCAR_LNC004096)". The record is from RNAcentral. Lineage: Eukaryota; Viridiplantae; Streptophyta; Magnoliopsida; Apiales; Apiaceae.